Heterocephalus glaber (naked mole-rat) is the source of this 735-nucleotide long non-coding RNA. Lineage: Eukaryota; Metazoa; Chordata; Mammalia; Rodentia; Bathyergidae. The record is from Ensembl.
AAGAGAUUAUAUUUAGAGCAAGUUCUCAGUCUGAAUUGAGAUUUCUAUGAAGUAACAUCUCUUUUCUCAUCAGCUCAGAGAGUGAGCACAUUCAGGUAGGAGCAUCGGUAGAUCAGCCCACUGAGGAGUAUAGCACCUCCAAGACUCACUCACCUCUCCCAGAGCCUCUUCUUCCAGUCAAGGUGAUAGGUGGGAAAAAGUGAGUUUGAGAAAUUUGCCCCAGAUUACUCCGCUGGAAGGUGGUGAAGAAUUCAAAGCCAGGACACCACGCCUGGCAUUUAACCAUCUGACGGUCUUGCAGCGCCCUAGCUCCUGGGGAGCCAUCCCGGGGACUUUCUGCCAGUUUCCACCUGGCUGCCACAUCCCACCUUGUAAGGCUCGCCCCAGCGUGGGAGGAAAGUGCGCCUCCCACCGGGAGGAAGACGGCUGGGACCUCUGUCUGGGGCGCCACCAGAUGGGUGGAGUUUUGAGGCUCUCGCCGGGAGGAGCCUAGCAGGUCCCAGGCGGCAGGUUCACACUGCUGACCAGUCCAAGGCGCGUUUACGCCUCGCAAAUCUUCUCACAAACGCCCGUUUAAUUUUCACCGCGGUCCUGCAAAACGGGUGAUUUUGCUUCCCAUUGUUCAGCGGAGGAAAAUGAGGCUUUGCCUUCUCGGUGGUCACAGGGUCCGCAGGUGGUGGAACUGUAGACGUCUGCCGCUUCCCCGUCCCAGAAAUAAUAAAAGCUGCCCUCAAC